GUACGGGAGGCAGCAGUCGGGAAUUUUGGGCAAUGGGCGAAAGCCUGACCCAGCAACGCCGCGUGAAGGAUGAAGUAUUUCGGUAUGUAAACUUCGUAAGAAUAGGAAGAAUAAAUGACGGUACUAUUUGUAAGGUCCGGCUAACUACGUGCCAGCAGCCGCGGUAAUACGUAGGGACCAAGCGUUGUUCGGAUUUACUGGGCGUAAAGGGCGCGUAGGCGGCGUGGUAAGUCAGCUGUGAAAUCUCCGAGCUUAACUCGGAACGGUCAGCUGAUACUGCUGUGCUAGAGUACAGAAAGGGCAAUCGGAAUUCUUGGUGUAGCGGUGAAAUGCGUAGAUAUCAAGAGGAACACCUGAGGCGAAGGCGGGUUGCUAGGCUGAUACUGACGCUGAGGCGCGAAAGCUAGGGUAGCAAACGGGAUUAGAUACCCUGGU
Molecule: ribosomal RNA, 435 nt
Filed under: uncultured bacterium
Lineage: Bacteria
Description: bacterial SSU rRNA
Rfam family: Bacterial small subunit ribosomal RNA
Source: RNAcentral